RNAcentral lists this transfer RNA (66 nucleotides) under Therea olegrandjeani. RNAcentral's name for it is "tRNA-Leu". It matches the Rfam family "tRNA". From Rfam's summary of the family: Transfer RNA (tRNA) molecules are approximately 80 nucleotides in length. Their secondary structure includes four short double-helical elements and three loops (D, anti-codon, and T loops). Further hydrogen bonds mediate the characteristic L-shaped molecular structure. tRNAs have two regions of fundamental functional importance: the anti-codon, which is responsible for specific mRNA codon recognition, and the 3' end, to which the tRNAs corresponding amino acid is attached (by aminoacyl-tRNA synthetases). tRNAs cope with the degeneracy of the genetic code in two manners: having more than one tRNA (with a specific anti-codon) for a particular amino acid; and 'wobble' base-pairing, i.e. permitting non-standard base-pairing at the 3rd anti-codon position. Lineage: Eukaryota; Metazoa; Arthropoda; Insecta; Blattodea; Corydiidae. The record is from RNAcentral.
UCUAAUAUGGCAGAUAAGUGCAUUGGAUUUAAGCUCCAUAAAUAAAGUUUCACUCUUUUAUUAGAA